GACGAACGCUGGCGGCGUGCCUAAUACAUGCAAGUAGAACGCUGAAGAGAGGAGCUUGCUCUUCUUGGAUGAGUUGCGAACGGGUGAGUAACGCGUAGGUAACCUGCCUUGUAGCGGGGGAUAACUAUUGGAAACGAUAGCUAAUACCGCAUAACAAUGGAUGACACAUGUCAUUUAUUUGAAAGGGGCAAUUGCUCCACUACAAGAUGGACCUGCGUUGUAUUAGCUAGUAGGUGAGGUAACGGCUCACCUAGGCGACGAUACAUAGCCGACCUGAGAGGGUGAUCGGCCACACUGGGACUGAGACACGGCCCAGACUCCUACGGGAGGCAGCAGUAGGGAAUCUUCGGUAAUGGGGGCAACCCUGACCGAGCAACGCCGCGUGAGUGAAGAAGGUUUUCGGAUCGUAAAGCUCUGUUGUAAGUCAAGAACGAGUGUGAGAGUGGAAAGUUCACACUGUGACGGUAGCUUACCAGAAAGGGACGGCUAACUACGUG
This 497-nucleotide ribosomal RNA is filed under the name uncultured bacterium. RNAcentral's name for it is "partial 16S ribosomal RNA". It matches the Rfam family "Bacterial small subunit ribosomal RNA", at positions 28 to 507 of the family's 1533-position model. The record is from RNAcentral.